Molecule: long non-coding RNA, 171 nt
Organism: Myotis lucifugus (little brown bat)
Lineage: Eukaryota; Metazoa; Chordata; Mammalia; Chiroptera; Vespertilionidae
Exons: 3
Source: RefSeq, a predicted model, not a curated record
GCCUCCUCCGCCGCCGCCCCCGCCGCCUGGAGUUGCGCCGCAGCAAUGAGGCCGAGCGCCCGGAGGUGUGCGUGACGCUUUGUGCCAAAAUUCCAGUCGCCUUUCGAGGCUCGGCCCGUAAGCGGAGCGCCCGCCGCCGCUCCCCCUUGGCGCGUCCCCGAGGCGGCGCGA